CACCGCGGUCAUACGAUUAACCCAAAUUAAUAAGCACCGGCGUAAAGUAUGUUUAAGAAACAAAAUCAAACUAAAGCCAAAUUCAAUUCUAGCCGUAAAAAACCAACAAUUAUAAUAAAAUAACCAACGAAAGUGGCUUUAUAACAUCUGAACACAUGAUAGCUAAGACA
This 170-nucleotide ribosomal RNA is filed under the name Procavia capensis (Cape rock hyrax). RNAcentral's name for it is "partial 12S rRNA". The record is from RNAcentral. Lineage: Eukaryota; Metazoa; Chordata; Mammalia; Hyracoidea; Procaviidae.